UACGUAGGCGGAAAAUUAAGUCAGUGGUGAAAUCCUGCAGCUUAACUGUAGAACUGUCAUUGAUACUGGUUUUCUUGAAUAUAGUUGAGGUAGGCGGAAUGUGUAAUGUAGCGGUGAAAUGCUUAGAUAUUACACAGAACACCGAUUGCGAAGGCAGCUUACUAAGCUAUGAUUGACGCUGAGGUACGAAAGCGUGGGGAGCGAACAGGAUUAGAUACCCUGGUAGUCC
RNAcentral lists this ribosomal RNA (229 nucleotides) under uncultured bacterium. Its description in RNAcentral is "partial 16S ribosomal RNA". It matches the Rfam family "Bacterial small subunit ribosomal RNA", at positions 568 to 796 of the family's 1533-position model. The record is from RNAcentral.